GUUGUCGCCAAAUAUCUCCAAGACCAGAAUCAAUGGUUCCACUCUCACUUUGCAACCCCAUCGACACCUCUUCUUCUUUGCUAAAACCCCCACUUCUCCAUUUCUCUCAAUCUAUCGCUAACACCAUUAAUCUCAAAAUCAGAUUCACUUUCACUUCUAAACCCUUGAUCGUUAGCCCCUUGCACUCUACCCAAUGUCUAAUCGCCGCCCGUGCGGCGGACCAUGCUGUUUCUUCUGCUGCUACCUCUGAGAUCGACAUGGUCAGGAACAGACAAGGAGUCUACACUUCUAAACAGAAUAAGGUCGUCGUUUUAUGGGACCUCGAUAACAAGCCGCCACGUGGCGCACCGUAUCCGGCUGCAAUGGCUCUUAAGCAGCUCGCUCAGAGGUUCGGGGACAUUAUAGAGAUGUCAGCUUAUGCCAAUCGUCAUGCUUUUGUCCAUCUCCCCCAUUGGGUCGUGCAGGAACGCCGCGAGAGGAAACAGUUGGACAUUCUUGAAAGGAAAGGGCUUGUCGCUCCUUCCGAGCCCUACAUCUGUGGAGUCUGCGGCCGAAAGUGUAAGAAUAAUAUGGAUCUCAAAAAGCAUUUUAGGCAGCUGCAUGAGCGGGAGAGGCAAAAGAAAUUGAGCAGAAUGAAGUCGCUCAAGGGGAAGAAGCGGCAGCGUUUCAAGGAGAGAUUCAUUUCUGGAAAUUAUAAGUAUAAUGAGGAGGCUAGGAGAUUGUUAACCCCAAAAGUUGGCUAUGGGUUGGCGGCGGAGCUGAGGAAAGCAGGGGUUUAUGUGAAGACGGUGGAGGAUAAGCCACAAGCGGCGGAUUGGGCAUUGAAGAGGCAGAUUGAGCAUUCAAUGAGUAGAGGGGUUGAUUGGUUGUUUCUGAUAUCUGAUGAUUCAGACUUCUGCGACAUUUUGAGGAGGGCAAGGGAGGCGAAUUUAGGGACGGUGGUGGUGGGGGAUAGGGAUAGGGCUUUAGGGAGGCAUGCGGAUUUUUGGGUGCCGUGGCUUGGGGUUGAGAAUGGAGAGGUUACAGAAAACGAUUUGGUGCCCAAGAGUAGGAAUAUAAGUGAGGAUAGAGAAGAGAAUGAUGGCUUCUUUUCUGUUACACAUUUUGAAGGCAAUGUGGCUGGUGUCGAGGGUGAUGUGGAUAACGUCCUUAAUGAGCUUGCAGGAGCAAGGUCUGAUUGGAGUGGUGUCAGGAUUUCUGUUUUCUCGGAAGGGGAAGAAGAAGAGGACCAGGAUUACUUCUUGUGGGACAGUGAGGAUGAGGACAUUGAAGGGGAAGAUGGGGAUUUUUUGUAAAUAUUUUUAGGUAGAGGCUGGCAUGAAAUUUGUUUCGUGAAUCUGGAUAUUUUGUUCAGGAAAAAAAGAAUCACAUUUUGAGAAUGAUGAGAGCAGAUUGAGUUUGUAAAGUGGUAGUAGUAGUAGUAGCUGUUUAAGUAAUUCAUGGAAAAACAGAAUAAAAGCAUGCGCAUGGCUGUCUGCAUUAUUGUCCGAAUCUGUAUAUGGAGGCUGAUGCCAAUGACAUCCAAUUUUGCAAAUUGGUACUUGUCUUCCCCCAAAUUCCCUGUGCACGCCCGCAUGCAUGUGAACAUUGUCGUUUUAUGUUUACCUUUUAUUUCUGAUAUAGAUUUGACAAGUUGUAUUGGAAUUAAUUUUUGACUGUAUUUCGACUGCUCAUGGUUAUUGUUUAACUUGCUGAGCAACAUGUUAUUCUCAGUAACUAUUCUGAUAGCUUCCCUCUUAACAUAUUCAUAAUUUAUUUCUUCUGAUAGCUUCUCUCUUAACAUAUUCAUAAUU
Molecule: unclassified non-coding RNA, 1793 nt
Filed under: Hevea brasiliensis (rubber tree)
Lineage: Eukaryota; Viridiplantae; Streptophyta; Magnoliopsida; Malpighiales; Euphorbiaceae
Source: RNAcentral